CCAAGAUCAUCCAGCAAAUCGGCAGCAGAGCUUGUUCGGAAGCAAAUAAGAGAGGCAGCGGCCGGGCGCAGCGGCUCACGCCUGUAAUCCCAGCACUUUGGGAGGCCGAGGGUCAGGCCAACAAGGUGAAGAAACUCUCCAUCGUUGUCUCCCUGGGGACAGGGAGGUCCCCACAAGUGCCUGUGACCUGUGUGGAUGUCUUCCGUCCCAGCAACCCCUGGGAGCUG
This 227-nucleotide long non-coding RNA is filed under the name Homo sapiens (human). RNAcentral's name for it is "HSALNT0277799". Lineage: Eukaryota; Metazoa; Chordata; Mammalia; Primates; Hominidae. The record is from RNAcentral.